UACGUAGGGUGCAAGCGUUGUCCGGAAUUAUUGGGCGUAAAGAGCUCAUAGGCGGUUUGUCGCGUCUGCUGUGAAAUCUGGGGGCUCAACCCCCAGCCUGCAGUGGGUACGGGCAGACUAGAGUGCGGUAGGGGAGAUUGGAACUCCUGGUGUAGCGGUGGAAUGCGCAGAUAUCAGGAAGAACACCGAUGGCGAAGGCAGAUCUCUGGGCCGUAACUGACGCUGAGGAGCGAAAGCAUGGGGAGCGAACAGG
RNAcentral lists this ribosomal RNA (253 nucleotides) under uncultured bacterium. Its description in RNAcentral is "partial 16S ribosomal RNA". It matches the Rfam family "Bacterial small subunit ribosomal RNA", at positions 524 to 776 of the family's 1533-position model. The record is from RNAcentral.